GGCUGGUCCGAAGGUAGUGAGUUAUCUCAAUUGAUUAUUCAUAGUCAGUUACAGAUCGAACUCCUCAUUCUACUCUUCCCCCCUUCUCACUACUGCACUUGACUAGUCUUAAAAAAAA
Molecule: Y RNA, 118 nt
Filed under: Cervus elaphus hippelaphus
Lineage: Eukaryota; Metazoa; Chordata; Mammalia; Artiodactyla; Cervidae
Rfam family: Y RNA
About the family: Y RNAs are components of the Ro ribonucleoprotein particle (Ro RNP), in association with Ro60 and La proteins. The Y RNAs and Ro60 and La proteins are well conserved, but the function of the Ro RNP is not known.
Source: RNAcentral